Molecule: long non-coding RNA, 1478 nt
Organism: Oncorhynchus nerka (sockeye salmon)
Lineage: Eukaryota; Metazoa; Chordata; Actinopteri; Salmoniformes; Salmonidae
Exons: 5
Source: RefSeq, a predicted model, not a curated record
CUGAACCUCGAGCUGAAAAGGACGUAAAUUAUUAAUGUGCGCGGAUGGAGGAGAGCAUGAAGUGUAGCCCUGAAUUUGGCACAGACCGGACUUCGGAGUGCCAGAGUGUGUGUUUAGUGCUUUGGUGUGUUUGUAUCCUAUUGACAGCACUUGGGAGUGUCAACGAGUGAAAGCUGCGCGAGCAUCGUGUGUUGUGUGAAUGGCGGAUGACUAGGCUCCGUACAAAAAUCGGUCACCUGUUCGCACCGCAGACUUUGCCCAGUGAGGGAGUGUGUACGGAAAUUCUGUAACAGGCAGCUGGCAAGCGAAACUAGCAGCGGAACCGGGGCGCCUCGAGCUGUCAAGCGCGAGCCGAUCGCCGAAGCGCGCCAGGGUUAUAGGCUAGAUUCCCACUGAUACCGCUGCUGCCAUGAAGAGGAGGGAGUAUCCAGUCGGCGAAGUCCUCAUCAUUCCAAUGACAUCGACUUCACCUUCACCCCAGGACUCAGCUCGACCCCAAGCCCUUCCCCUCCAGCCCUCUUCCCCUCCUCUCCCUGUCUCCUCCCCUCCUCCCCCCCUUUCUCUGUCCAAUCCACAGCUCCAGGCUGAGUUUCUGAGGAGAGCUCCCAGAGCUGCCUCCCCUGACAACGACUCGGCUAGAUCCCAAAUCCUUCCCCUCCAGCCCUCUCCCCCAUCUCCACCUCUGUGGCUCCCCGCUCCUCCCUUCCUCCCCCUCUUUCCUCCCCUCCUCCACCCCUCUGUCUGUCCAGUCCCCAGCUCCAGGCGGAGUUUCUGAGGAGAGCUAGCCGUGGUCUCAGAACUGUCUCCUGCGACACCGACGAUGUCCUCACCUCCCCCAGCUCCCCCCUGGUUUCACCCUUUACCUCCACCACCACUUCCCCCUUACCUCCCCACCUCAGCCUCUCUCCCCCACCUCUCCCUUUAGCUCUCCACCACAGCCCCUCUCCCCCUCCACACCCACUACAGAGGGCUGCGCUACUCGCCUGUCUCUUUCCAGUCCUGAGCUGCUGACAGAGCUGCGUCGGUCUCAGUCCCGUCCUAUGAAGCACGUCUCCAUCUCUAAAGGACUCACCACUGUCUUCUGUGGACGGGGCAGGGGCGUAACGACUCCUAGCUCUGCUCCUGCCUCAGGAGCAACCAACCAGACACUCCGCUCAGACUCCACGGCCAAUGGAAGAAGACAGACGGGUCCCAAGCUGUCCAAUGGGACAUAGCGUUAGACUAAGUUAAAGUGCCUCUGAGGAAACCAGCUGCUGUAUAGUGUCAAUGUUAUUGAUAUUAAUGAAAACCAGUAGUACGGUGGCCUGAAUAUGAUACAUGAUCAGACACUAUCUAUACUGCCAUGUGCCAACAAUAAACACAAUGCAAAAUAACCGACAGACGGACACACUGUAGCUCUUCAUGUAAGACAUGGAGAGCAAUGUGUUGAGCUGAGGCAUGCCUCUCUCUUGAAAAAUAAAUUAUAAAAUGUAUCAUAA